Molecule: non-coding RNA, 1218 nt
Organism: Phasianus colchicus (ring-necked pheasant)
Lineage: Eukaryota; Metazoa; Chordata; Aves; Galliformes; Phasianidae
Source: RefSeq, a predicted model, not a curated record
UGGCAUUGUUCAAUCUGCUGGAGAGGAAGCUCAGGAGAGACGUUAUAGCUCUCUCUACCUACGUGAAGGGAAGUUGUAGCCAGCUGGUCUCGGCCUCUUCUCCCAUGUAACUAGUGACACGACUGGAGGAAAUGGCCUCGAGUUGAACCAGGGGAGUUUCAGGUUGGACAUCAGGAAAUAGUACUUCUCUGAAAGAGUGGGCAGGCACUGGAAUGGGCUGCCCAGGGAGGUGGUGGAGUCACCGACCCAGGAGGCAUUCAGGGAACGUUCAGAUGUUGUGUUGAGGGACGUGGUUUAGUGAGAAAUAUUGGUGAUGAUCUUGCAGGUCUUUUCCAACCUCAGUGAUUCUAUGAUAGCAGGAGAAAUAGUUAUUGCAUAUCCUUUUUUUUCUAUUCUACCUCACUUUGUAUUUGGGCUGCUGCUUGGGAUCUGCUCAGGAUCACAGAUUAUCUUAGAUAUUUUUGAUCUAUAAAGAUGAAAAUAAGAAUGAAGAUGGGGUGGAUUUUAAUAUUAGCUUUUGGGUGAAUACCAAUUAAGGUCAACUAACCCUAAUUAAGGUCAUUAAUGAAGAUAGACAAUGUUGGUCCUGAUGUUGUCCCCUGGCACACUUGUUGUGGUUUCAAGAUUUCUGCUAUUGGUGUUCCACAUCAUAGCAUCAGGUAAUGCACGGGGAGUUAAAGAGUUAAGGCUUCAGUUCCAUGGACUGUUGAUAGUUCCAGGUACAUUUCACAGAAGAGAAAGAAUGAACUGUAUCUCCCAGAAUACUUCACUGUUCCAUUUCCAUUUUCUGUUUAAAGGGAAAGAGAAAACUGGGAGUCAUGAGACUUCUUUUUCUGCUUGGCUCUGCAGUGUAUGCUCCAUAGCUGUCUCACCUUCAACAUUAGAAUAUAAUUCUUAGGUGAGAAGAUGAAAAAUUCAUUGUACUCUGCGGAGAAGAAAGACAAUUUUCUUUGUAUGAAUGGCAGAACAGCCCCAUGGCAAGACUUGUCGGAUGAGCUGCAUUUAAGCUACAGCCAACAGUACCUCCUUGCAGGUCCACGCACUGGAGAUAACAGAGGUCCUUGCUGUGAAGAAAGGGGAAUAGAGAUGCAAGGGAAUGAUGCAGCUGAAAAGAAGUACAAUGGCAAACUUUUUUCACAGAACAAUGAUUAAUCAGUUUGCUCUCUUCAAUUUAUGAAUCAUCUGGAAGUGGGCUUUGCCACAGUGUAUGCUCGAUCU